UACUACGGGGGCCGGAAGGAGCGGAAAACAAACGGCAGCGCGCGGGAGGGCGGCAUGGCUGCUGGCGGAGCGGAUGAUCCGUCCCUAGAGAGGCAUUUCAAAGGCCACAGAGAUGCCAUCACUAGUGUGGACUUCAGUCUCAAUAAGAAACAAUUGGCGAGUGGCUCAAUGGAUUCAUGCCUGAUGAUCUGGAGUAUGAAACCUCAGAUGAGAGCCUAUCGCCUUGUGGGCCACAAAGAUGCAGUGAUGUGUGUUCAGUUUUCCCCUUCUGGCCACCUCGUAGCUUCGGGCUCCAGAGACAAAACUGUCUGCUUAUGGGUUCCCAGUGCCAAAGGAGGAUCUACUGUGUUCAAGGCUCACACAGCGACUGUGAGAAGCGUUCAUUUCUCCAGCGAUGGCCAGUCCUUAGUUACAGCUUCUGAUGACAAAACAAUCAAAGUGUGGACAGUUCACAGGCAGAAGUUUUUGUUCUCACUCAGCCAACACAUAAAUUGGGUUCGUUGUGCCAGAUUCUCUCCUGAUGGACGACUAAUAGCAUCAGCCAGCGAUGAUAAAACUGUCAAACUGUGGGAUAAAACUAGCAGAGAAUGUAUACAUUCCUUUUGUGAGCAUGGGGGGUUUGCAAAUCACGUGGAGUUUCAUGGCAGUGGUACGUGCAUUGCUGCAGCUGGUACAGAUAACACAGUGAAGGUGUGGGAUGUUAGGAUGAACAGACUCCUCCAACAUUAUCAAGUGCACUCUGCUGCGGUGAACAGUCUGUCCUUUCACCCCUCUGGAAAUUACCUGAUUACUGCUUCCAACGAUUCAACUCUCAAAAUUCUGGACUUGCUUGAAGGAAGACUUCUGUAUACUCUUCAUGGUCACCAGGGUCCAGCCACCUGCGUAGCAUUCUCCAGAACUGGAGACUUCUUUGCCUCUGGAGGAUCUGAUGAGCAGGUGAUGGUAUGGAAGACUAAUUUCAAUGCAGCAGAUUACGGCGAAGUUCUGAAAUCUCACAAGUCUGGUGCUAAUGUGGAUGGGACCCAUCACAGUCUGGGUAUCCUGGUGGGAGAAGUAACUGGCACAGCAGGGCAGAAGACAUAAGGUGAUCUGGAGGUGUUUUUCUUGCCGCCUCAGCUGCGAAUCCUGCAGCCAUAUAACUGAAGUGAGUGUUUCACAUGGAUACAGUGCUAGUUCUCCUGAGACCAGCGGGCUUCUUGGUUUGGAGAUUGGAAACUUAAUUCCUUGUGUAGUCCAUGAGGCUUUAUACAAACUCUCAUCUCUGCAUGAUUCUCCUACAUUUUGACUAAGAAUCCCUUCUGAACAAACAAGAGCCUGAAUGAUCAUCAGCUGCAAUUCAUGUUUUUUUGUUUGACAAGCAAUUGGUACAAAAGCUGAAGCUGUGACAGUGGUGGUAAGUCAUAAAUUGUUUCAAAGGAAAAUGGAUGUGAGCGGUGAUUUGGGCUGGUCAGAGCUCUCUCUCCGAAGCCCAUAGGCUGAACUUCCAAACCCAGCUCCACCUUCCUUCUGCAGUGUUGACCUUGGUCUCCAUGCUGACUGCAGCACUUCAGUCUUUGUGUAAAUAAAUUCCUCCUGAAUUACUCAGAGGCCAGAUGUGCUUUUUCUUUUUUUAACCUUGUGGAUUCCAAACUACCUCCAGUUUUGGCAUCCAUUAAUACUUACAAGUGUGUACUUUUUUUAAUCGCUGUGAAAUUCUCUCCUAGAAAGACACAGCUGGAGCUCUCUUCAGCUGAAUGUAGACAUGUAUUUCUGUUUGCAUCUCCUUCACCUCGGUCUACUUAUUGCCUUAGAAUUUCUCUCUCAAUUCUUAGUAAUGUCUUCAACAGGGUUAUCCUUCAGGUUAAAUGUGGCCUGCAAGUUGUUGUGGGUUUUUCUGUUGUUGCUGUUUUGUUUUCCAAUUUGCUUCUCACCUUAUUUCUCUGAGGAUUUUUUCCCACUCUGGGAAGCUUCAUCCUGGCAUGUGGUUACCUUCCUCCUGGAAUAGGUAGGUAGAUUUUUUUACUUACAUGAGCAACAAUGAUGAAAUGAUAAGCUGCUUCUGCUUUCUGUGCUAUUCUGCUGUCCAAGCAGAACCUGCUAAGAAAGGGCUGUCUUACUACAGCUGAUUGUGGGACGUUAAAGGCAUCUCCAAGGGGGUUGAAACUAGAUGAUCUUACAGGUCCUUUUCAAUCCAGGCCAUCCUAUGAUUCUGUGGUCAUCCCUACAUCAUUUGCAAGGGGUGCAGUUGCUGAUGAUUACUCAUAGCUGUCUGGUUUUCCACUCUCCUUUUUGCUGAAGGGAUUCCACUCUCAUAAGGCUGUUGUAACCUGUGACCUCACAUUUUUGCAAGGAGACAGAGGUUCAGCAGGAACAGAGGAAAAGGCUGCUUAUUUUUUCAAGCUGUUCUUUCUGAUGUGGACAAAAGGAUUCUCUGCUGUGGUCUGUGCCUGAAGAGGCUGUAUUUGCCCCAGUUCUUCUGGCAGUGGCAAAUGUAAAGUGAGGAAUACAGAAUGUGGGAAACAGGACCCUGAUCUCAGGUGGCACAUAGAACAAGGUGAUGGAAUGAUGUAGCUGUGCUCACAGACCUCCUGGAAUGUGUGGACAACGCACAGCUUAGGUGCUUUUGACAGGACUGCCCUUGUUACUAUUUUGUGAAUGGGAUUUAAAGGAUGGAGGUAAAGCUGAACUCCCCUAUUCCCACUGCUCCAUUGUUCUUUUCUGGUGGACAGGAGCAAAGAGAAGAGGGAAAAAAAAAAAAAACAAACACACAGAUGUUUCCACAGGGUUUAUUGAUGAGAAUCCUAUUUUCUGAUGUAGAUGUGCAAUUAAACAGGUAGGUGCUUACCUUGUCAGUGUGUUUUCUAAAUAUCACUACGUAGAAAAGCAGCAUUUUUUUGCAUCAUCCACUGCAAUUUCAUUAUUGAUGCAAUCUAUUCUGUAGGUAACCCUUGCCUCAACUUCCUCAUCAGCAUUACAGUAAUUGGUUACAACGUUAUAGAUUUCAUGAAAGGUUAAGUAAGGGAGCUCUGGAAUGAAGGCUGAUGAAUUUUCUCUUUCUAGCAAGUAGCUGCACUGUGCUAAGAAGUUGCCAUGGGUAAAUCACUUCAGUUUCUGCCUUAUCACUAAGAGCUGUAUCAUAUGCUGAAACUAUUUAUCCAUUGUUCUUGUAAUGUUAAACUGCUUCUUGCUGUACCCACAGAGCUUAGUAAGUGGAUGUUGUGAUAAGGUAUUUAAUGGAAAAUACAUGUGUUCAUUUACUGUGUACUUGAACUCAAACUAAGACAGAUGAAACCUCAACAGCAGUCGCUGCUUGUGGUGCCUGCCUGUGGAAUGCAGCUGGCACUGCGCCGUCCGGCUGAGUCAGAUGGGACCUCAGGUUUCUGUGCAGCCACAGUGUUUCACAGCACAGACUGUCAUAUAAGUUAGUUCCCAUUCUGUAUUUCUUUGCUCUUUCUGUAUUUCUUUGCAACUUUCUAGAUAUCUGUUUGAAUUGAAAUCAGUAGUGUCUGGUUCACCACAGCGUCUAGAUUUCUAUUAAGAUUAGGAUAGUUGUAGUCUGGUCUUUGAGGGGGUUUCUUUCACCAUUUUUAUGAACAACAGUGGGGCUGAUGUAAUGUUCUUUUACCAAAUGGGAAAUAUAUACAUAUAUGCAUUGUAUGGGAACUUUUGAGUCCUGGCCUGAACUACUGGUUGAGCACCUGAGGAAAGGACCGUCAGCCCUGGGAGCACAGGUGAAGGCAAUUGAGCUGUGAGACAGGAAGGAGUGGAGCCUGGCUGCACCUCUCUUA
RNA transcript from Centrocercus urophasianus (Greater sage-grouse), 3767 nucleotides. It is a transcript of the gene named POC1 centriolar protein A, with no coding region annotated. Lineage: Eukaryota; Metazoa; Chordata; Aves; Galliformes; Phasianidae. The record is from RefSeq and is a predicted model, not a curated record. The transcript has 12 exons.